This 4393-nucleotide ribosomal RNA is filed under the name Triticum aestivum (bread wheat). Its description in RNAcentral is "partial small subunit ribosomal RNA". The record is from RNAcentral. Lineage: Eukaryota; Viridiplantae; Streptophyta; Magnoliopsida; Poales; Poaceae.
GAGCUUUGAUAAGGCUGCUCACCAAUGAGCUGGACGUGUUUUUGUCCUGGGUACUUGCAUGAUGGAAGAAGAAAUUGGGUAUUCCUAAAUGUGCUACUGCAGAUCAAAGGUGAAUUCAUCCCAUUUUCUUACUUCAAUCUCAGGUUAUUUAGGAGGUGAGGAUAAUAAUAAUUGAAUGAACAUUGUUUGAGAUCCACCUGACUAAUUGCACCUUAUGGAGAAGGAGCAGGCCGUGGAGGAGUGCAAGUAGCAGGUUCCCGGUGACUGCAAAUCUGAAAUUGAAGAUAGGGCAGAUUGUAUUGGUUCUGCUUGCUUGCAGAACUUGUGGUAUGCUGGCCAUGGAGUACUCAGACCCUGCCAAGAAAGAGGAGCAGGAGAUGAGGAGCACAACAUUUAGUGUACAAUGGUGCAUGAUGUGGCAGUUAGGAUCAGGACACGAGGAACACGACACUGGGUGUACGAAAGAUUAGUAGGAAGAAUGUUAAUCACAGUGUGUGAAAAGAAAAUGCGAGCUCGGCUGAUGUAUUACGUACUAUUUGGCUGAGUUGUUUUGUCCUAAAGAUACAAUUAAGCUGAAGAAUUCUUUUUGUAUGGAAAUUCACUAUGGAAAUCGAAACAAUGGUACUCUGCACAACCGUUUACUUUCUUGCAUCGGUUCUUCAUUCUAUAAGUGAAACCUUUUCUAUUUGGUAAAAUAAGAGUGAGCUCAUGCUUGAACUUCCACCAUGUAUGUUAACACUUGGAUACUGUAUCAACCCAGUAAUCCCCCGAUCCUUCAUUGUUUUCCCUUGCAUUGCCUCCUUUAACUAUUCAGCAGGACCUUGAAAAGAAUGAUUUUUCGGUUAUAUAAUUUAUUAUGUUUUGUUUCGCCUUCGAGAGGUAGAAUGUAAAGUAGGCUGGUAUUUUCAUUCCGUUAGAUAUUUGAUAUAAGUGAAUAUAUACCUUUCGGCAGGUGAAUGUGCUCUCCAUUAAUAUUACUCAUAUAUUUGAGCUUCAGAGAAGGAUAUCUAUGCCAUUUUGUUUUUGUUUUUUAAACAAAAGAGUGUUGUAUGUAUAUCGUUAGGAGGAUGAAGCAGCAAAAUUAUCUACGCAAUUUAGCAGGAUAUGGCUGAUACGUACAGAGUGGCUUUACUUAGGUCUGGUGUUACUACUAUUUCUUUCAUUGUAAAACUGCAGUCUUAGAACGCUAUGUAUCAUGAAUGAUUCAUGUGUACCAAUCUGCCCUUAAAUAUAUUUAUGUUCACUCUUUCCAUACUUGCCUUACUCUCGUCCCUUGCGCCAUCGGCGCAACGGGUCAUCUAGUUUUAGAUUACAAGAGCAUGGUAGCACACAAGUUUAUUGUUGACAACGAAGAUAGGAUGCUCUUGUAUAAACUUAGAUUCAAUAAGAAACAUUUUGAGAUUAUUAUUUUGCAUGCGCCUUUGUUGUUUGAUUUGCUUGCAGAAAAUUUUCUCGUCACACCGAAGGCAGUGAACAAUCAUCGAGCCCAAACUUUUACUCCAGAACCUGAACGUGAGCCGGAACCUGAGCUGGACCCUUAUCGUGCAUCAUCUGUCCAGUGGGAGUCGGAGAUGACCAGCCAGUGGUAUCCUGAUUACACCUCUCAUUACACUGGGGAGAGUAGCUGCGGUCCUUGGUAUUAAACCAACUUAGGCCAAAAGCCUAAGCUUGGGGGAGUACGUAUUCCUCACCGACUUCACAUUCAUGUUCACACACUGGGCAUCGGUGCUCAUACUCUUUCAUUGUGUUAUCCAUGUUAGUUUAAAUUUCUUUUUCUAGUUUUCUUCUUGUGUGUUUGAUAAACCUUGAGAAAAACCAAAAAAAUUAGUUAGUUUAAUUUCCUUGCCUGUAGUAGGAUUAAAAUGAAAACCUCAAAAGAUUUCUAGUUCUUUUUACUUGUUGGGAGGUUUCCUGUGUAAAUAGUUUUAUUUUCUUUUCUUUCCUUUGGGGGUCGAGAAGACCAUAUUGAAAAUGCUUAGUGACUCUUAUAUGCAUGAUUGUUUAUUUAAUUUAGAGCCCAUAUUAAUUGUCUUCUCUCUUGAGUUGAAUGCUUGCAGAUUCCAGCUUAGUCCAAUGCACGUGCACUUUUAUUAUUAUACACAUCGUUCGUUCGUGCAAGUGGAAGGCAAUAAUGAUGAUAUAUGAUGGACUUAUUGGGAUGAGAAAAGUCGGUAUGAACUCGACGUCUCUUGUUUUUUUAAUAUGAUGAUUCAUCGUUCCUAAGUCAGCUAUUAUGAAGUAAACAUAUUUGCAAUGACAUUUAGAGAUUAUAGUUACUUGUGCCAUGCUUGAUUAUCUAUGAGUUAUAAUGGUUUACCUUGCGUGCCAACAUGCUAUUAAAAUGGUUGUGAUGUGGUAUGAUAGGGUGGUAUCCUCCUUCGAAUGAUUCGAGUGACUUGACUUGGCAUAUGUUCACGCAUGUAGUUGAAAACAAAUCAACACAGCCUUCAUGAUAUUUAUGUUCAUGGUGGAUUAUAUCCUACUCAUGCUUGCACUCGGUGUUGAUUAAUUUUAAUGCAUGUUCAUGACUGUUAUUGCUCUCUCAGUUGGCCGCUUCCCAGUCUUUUGCUAGCCUUCACCUAUACUAAACGGGAAUAUUGCUUGCGCAUCCAAACUCCAUAAACCCCAAAGUUAUUCCAUAUGAGUCCACUAUACCUUCCUAUAUGCGGUAUCUACCUGCCGUUCCAAAUAAAUUUGUAUGUGCCAAACUCCAAACCUUCAAAUGAAAUUCUAUUUUGUAUGCUCGAGCAGCUCAUGUUACAACUAGGGCUGCCUAUAUCUUCCAUGCUAGGUGGGUUAUUCUCAGAGGAGUGGACUUCGCUCAUCAUUCACGAGAAGGGGCCGGUAACUGGGAUGCCCAGUCCCAUGAUCCAAAAAGAUUAAAGCAAAUCAAAAUAAUUAAACAAAACUUCCCCAGGGCUGUUGUAUGUUGAGGGCACUCGUUGUUUCGAGCAAGCCAUGGAUUGAUGCUUGUUGGUGGUUGGGGGAGUAUAAACCUUUACCAUUCUGUUUGGAAACUGCCUAUAAUGCAUGUAAUAUGGAAGAUACAGCCAUCUCAUAGGUGUUGCGUUGACAGCGAAAGUAUGCCGCUCAAAAUGUUAUUCAAUCUCUAUUUUAAAAUCGAGCUCUCACACCUCUACAAAUCUCUGUUUCCCUCUGCGAAGGGCCUAUCUAUUUACUUUUAUGUUGAGUCAUCACCCUUCUUAUUAAAAGCACCCGCUGGAGAGCACACUGUCAUUUGCAUGUAUUAUUAUUGGUUUAUAUUGGGUAUGACUUGAUUGGAUCUCUUUUACCAUGAAUUACAAUGUUUAGUCAGUCCUUGAUCUUUAAAGGUGCUUUGCAUUUAUGUUUUGCGGUCUCAGAAAGGGCUAGCGAGAUACCAUUUUAUUAUAUCAUGUUAUAAUUAUUUUAAGAAAGUGUUGUCAUCUGAGUUUUAUUAUUAUGGCUCGCUAGCUGAUUAUGCCAUUGGUGUGAGUAAUUGUGAGACCUAUGUGUUACUGUGAGUAUGGUUAGUUCAUAAUAUUUGCUGAAACUUGAAUGCUGGCUUUUCAUGUUUACAACAACAAGAGCAAACAGAGUUUGUAAAAGUUUUUCUUUAUCACUUCCAGUUUAUCAACUGAAUUCCUUGAGGACAAGCAAAGGUUUAAGUUUGGGGAGUUGAUACGUCUCCAACGUAUCUACUUUUCCAAACACUUUUGCCCUUGUUUUGGACUCUAACUUGCAUGAUUUGAAUGAAACUAACCCGGACUGACGAUGUUUUCAGCAGAACUGUCAUGAUGUUGUUUUAUGUGUAGAAAAGAAAAGUUUUCGGAAUGUCCUGGAAAUCCAUGGAGGCACCUUUUGGAAUUAAUAAGAAUUUUUGGCGAAAGAGUUAAUGCCAGGGGGCCCACAGCCUGCCCACGAGACAGGGGGGUGCCCCCCCAGGGCGCGGCCUCCUAUCUCGUGGGCCCCCUGGACCUCCUGCGACCUCAACUCCAACUCCAUAUAUUCCGUCUCGGGGAGAAAAAAAAUCAAAGAGAAAGUUUCAUCGCGUUUUACGACACGGAGCCACCGCCAAGCCCUAAUCUCUCUCGGGACGGCUGAUCUGGAGUCCGUUCGGGGCUCCGGAGAGGGGGAUUCGUCGCUGUCGUCAUCAUCAACCAUCCUCCAUCACCAAUUUCAUGAUGCUCACCGCCGUGCGUGAGUAAUUCCAUCGUAGGCUUGCUGGACGGUGAUGGAUUGGAUCAGAUUUACCAUGUAAUUAAGUUAGAUUUGUUAGGGUUUGAUCCCUAGUAUCCACUAUGUUUUGAGAUUGAUGUUGCUAUGACUUUGCUAUGCUUAAUGCUUGUCACUAGGGCCCGAGUGCCAUGAUUUCAGAUCUGAACCUAUUAUGUUUUCAUGAAUAUAUGUGUGU